AUGGACCCGGAGGACAUGGUUGAUCGGGACCGGUCCGAGAUCGAGAGCUCCCGCGCCGACGAGCUCAACGGGCUCGCGCUGCUCUUCAUUCUCGGGGCGUCGGGCGGCGGCGCGGUGGGCCGAGUUCUUGGGGCCGCCUGGCGCGCCAGGCUGCCUGCCGUCGUACCGGCCACAAGGGCCGUCCGAAGCGCCGCGAGAGCAGCCAAGACGCCCACGACACCUCCCGCCGCACCCCGGGCGGGUUCUGCUGCCCCAUCGGCUGGUGCGAGACCAGCGACGACGGGCGCCGCCCCUGCCUCUGCACCCCCGGCGGGCUCUGCUACCCCACCGGCUGUCCCUUUCUUGGAUCCUGUGAAAGCAGUUAAUGAUGCUAUCUCGAAGGUGGAAACUCCUGUUUUCUUUCCUUCCAGGAUUGCCAACACGUACAUUGAGAUCGUAAAAUUACUAUCUCAUGGUGGAUGGUCUGUAUAUCUUCUGGAUAAGUAUGCUGAAAAAGGGUGUUCAGACGUUUGCCCUUUCACAGGUAAUGGUGAGUUCUCCCCAGUGCCUGUCCAGAAGCCAGCAGUGGCUGUCCAGUUGCCUGCUGAGGUGGAUGAGAAGCAUCAUUCGGUGGGAGAUAAGGGGGAUGCAGAGGGAGUUGCUGUCCAGGUGCCCGACAAGGUAAAUGAGAAGCAUCAUUCAGAGGGAGACAAGGAGGAUUCAGAGGGAGGUGAGAAGCAGCCUGCAGAUGGAGACUAUGCUUGCUUUUUUCAUGAGAUCGGCAAAAAGGCGUAUGAUUUGCUGUACCAGGACUAUAACACAGGUCUGAAGAUGGUAUCUGACUGUAAGGUGCUUGACACCGCUGUUCUUUUGUCUGAUGGCUCUGAGCAAGUUGGAAAAGCAUCUUUGGGAUUUGAGUUGUCAUCUGAUACAAAGCUUAUCAAACUUACACUUGAUGAUGUGUUGAGGCCUGGUUUGAAGGGACUUCUGUCUAUUCCCGUCUCCUCCCAGAGCUCAUCGAAGGUGGACCUUCAGUAUCGUCAUCUCGGUGCUUGUAUAACCGGAAGUUCUGAGCUUCAGGGAUCGCCAAUUGUUUCGUUUUCUGCUAUGAUUGGCACGAAAAGCAUUGCUUUAGGUGCUGAUGUUUCGGUCAUCACAAAGUCCCUCGAUGCUUUGGGCGCGGUUGGUUCCCUUGAAACCCAGCUCCUGCGAUUUCCUAAGUACACCUGUGGUUUGGUUCUAUCGGAAGGAGACGUGGGUGCUUCUUUCACAAUGGAAAAUGCCGACGUUCUCACAGCAACUUAUCAUCAGAAGUUAGACGAGACGACGUCCAUCGCUGCCAAGGUGCAGCGUGUUCUGUCUUCCAACGACAGCACUCUUACGGCGGGUUUUUCUCAUUCUCUGGAUCCGAACACAACGGUGAAGGCCAAGCUUGGCAGUGAUGGAGCGGUGAGCGUCCUGCUCCGGUACGGCCCCAAGCCCAAGCGCUACGUCGCCUUCUCCGCCGAGUCCAAUUCCCAAGCGCCUCAAAAGGAUACCAAGUUUGGUCUGUGUGUCGCGCUAGGGGCGUGA
This 1551-nucleotide ribosomal RNA is filed under the name Triticum aestivum (bread wheat). RNAcentral's name for it is "partial small subunit ribosomal RNA". Lineage: Eukaryota; Viridiplantae; Streptophyta; Magnoliopsida; Poales; Poaceae. The record is from RNAcentral.